Oryzias melastigma (Indian medaka) is the source of this 2270-nucleotide long non-coding RNA. RefSeq lists it as uncharacterized. The record is from RefSeq and is a predicted model, not a curated record. The transcript is spliced from 2 exons. Lineage: Eukaryota; Metazoa; Chordata; Actinopteri; Beloniformes; Adrianichthyidae.
UUACACAACAUUUAGAUAAAUUAAAAAAUCCCCCAUCAUUUAGGGUUUUUUUUUUUUUAAGAACAUUUUUUUCUGUGUGGUUGGAUACGUGAUUACAUCUUUGUGGGAAAGUUUUACAAAUUAUAUAUUUACAAUUUCCUGUGUUCCUUACUUUUCUUUUUGUUUUUAAAAUGAUGUUGUAAUUUUUAUAAUUUUCUGCUCAUCACCUCAGGUUUAACAGAUGAUUGUCUUCAUUUCUGUGCUGUGUUUCAUAUUGAUGUAGAAUUGAUCCCCGGUGAUCCUCCUGACUUCCAUAAGAACAGCUGUCCGUCUGUGCUGCUCCAUCCUGAAACCAGUCUGGGAUCUGUGGUGAUUUGAUCACUUUCUGCUUCCAGGACCGUUUGAUGGACGGGGUGUCACCCUGCUGGAGGUGUGUGGGAGCUGGCCCGAGAGCUUCAGUGUUCCCCGACACAUUAUCGGGUCAGCAGACGCCAGUGACGAAGGCCUGCGCGAGAGACUGGCGGACGCCAUGUCUGAGUCUCCUUCUCGGGACAUCGUUGGCUCUGCUACAGAGCUGCAGAGGGAGGGAAGCAUCGAGACUCUGAGCAACAGCUCCGGCUCCACCAGCGGCAGCAUCCCGCGCAACUUUGAAGGCUACCGCUCCCCGCUGCCCACCAAUGAGAGCCAGCCUCUGAGCCUCUUCCCCACCAACUUCCCCUAGAGCUCCACUUCCCCCACCGUCCAACCUGCCUGACCCCCCGCCCCCCAUCCACCAAACACACCCACUGGUUUACCUGUACAGUCUUGGGUGUGUGUUUCUGCUCAGCUGUAUCUGCUCAAGCGAUCAGUGAACGUCCAGCAGCUUGAAGUUUUCUUCCUCUCAAGUCUGAAUAUAAAGAUUUUUAAGAUAUUGAAAGAUUCCCACGUCUUUGAUAUUUGUCCAGUUUUUUAUUUCACAAUCAUUCCCAAAAUCACAGAUAAUUGUUUCCCCGUAACCCUUUAACACCGAGCUCCAGUGUUUCUUCUUUGAUUUUCUUUGACUUUUCAACCAUUAACACGAUCAUUCCAGUAGAUUCUGAAGGGGAAAAGCGGCCGGCAGAAUCUGCUGGAAUUACGUUGAUUGUGUUAGCGGUUGAAAAAUUACAGGAUGUUAGAUUUUGUGUUUAAGCGUCCCCAGUGAUGUUAAAGGGUUAAAUGUCCCUGCAGUCAGCAGCGGGGCUCAGAUACCCUGCAGGUUAAAGACAGAACUAUCUGCAUUCACAGAGGAAGAUAGAAAAGCAAAACUCUAGCAAAAGUCCAACUGAAACUCCUGAUGAGGCAGACAAAUGAUAACAGUCUGUUUUUUACAGAAACAUGUCGGUCUAAAUGUGAAAGCAAGCAGAGGUGAAGAGCUACAGCUGAGUUCAGCCCUGGCUGCCUCUCACAUGCACACAGCGCUCUGUGAGGAUGAUCGGAGCUUCAGGUUCCUCUGGAAACCUUCACGAUCCACCAAGAAAUGUGUUCCAGAGGGGCUGAAACAGCCGCACAGCUCAAACUCUCACUAAAACUAUCCACUCUGCUUAUGCUGAAACUGUUGUGAUUUAAUAACCUCACUUUAUUUGUGUGGGAUUAGAGGACUGUGUGCACAUAUUCUCCAUCAGGGGAGCAUCGGUAUUCCAGAGAUCAUAGAAUGAUUUUUGUACACAUUUAAAAUAAGUGCUUCCUGUCUGGGACACCCCUGCCCCCGGCCUCCCCCUCGCCCGCUCAUGACCUCGCUGUGAAGACCGAUCCUCCGUCCUCCACACUCAUCAGCAUCCUCACGUUUGUGUCCAGAGACAGUUGUGGAGCAGCAGCGUCUGCCUGCAUGUGACGCUGCUCUCAUGGUUCUCACUUAAUGUUUUUGAUUGAAUUUGCUUCUUUCAUGUCUUUGAUUUUGAUGUAAUUACAUUUGACAAAAGAAGCAGUAAUUAUGUGACACUGGAGGGAUAAUUUAGAUGUUUACAGAGUAAUUGAGAUGUGUCUUUUCCAAAUCAUUCGCUCAGUCUUUCUGCAGAGUUUCAGAGGCCUCUCUCUGGAUUUUGUACAUAAACAAAUUUUAUUUCAGCCUCUUGUGAAAUAUUUGGUAGUAGCACAAAUAUUGACUGAUGAUCUGAAAGGCUGCAGAAUGCGUAAAACAGAAGGGGAGAUUACAGACUGACUGUGUCUGAGGUGGAUGUCCAGAACCACAAUCUUCUAACUCACACAAAAAGCUUGUUGUUGAUGUUACUGUUUCCAGCUAUCAUGCAAUACAAACAAAUGAAACGUUAAAAGGA